ACAACGGGGUUCGCCCCUUGUCCACAAACACACCCCCGUGCACGUUGAAGGCCCGGCUCGUUGAGUGGGUGGGCGACCGCCCAGGAUUCGUAGCCUCGCUUUCUUACACAAACUUCAGAAUGUACAUCAGAAUGUCUUACGCGUGUAACGCAUCGUAAUAUAACUUUCAGCAACGGAUCUCUUGGCUCUCGCAUCGAUGAAGAACGCAGCGAAAUGCGAUAAGUAAUGUGAAUUGCAGAAUUCAGUGAAUCAUCGAAUCUUUGAACGCACCUUGCGCUCCUUGGCAUUCCGAGGAGCAUGCCUGUUUGAGUGUCAUGAAACUCUCAACCCCUGCCAUCUUUGCGGAUGAGCGUCGGUUGGAUUUUGGAGGUUGCCGGACUCGUUCGGCUCCCCUUGAAAGCAUAGUAAAGCUUGGACCUGACCGACCGGGUGGACGUGAUAGAAAGUCACCGUCGACCGAAGGGUCCGUCGCUGAACGGUUCAAGCUUUGUUUGUCGUCUUCGGACGAACAUCUCUGACCUCUGACCUCAAAUCAGG
Molecule: ribosomal RNA, 537 nt
Filed under: Laetiporus sp. OLRIM118
Lineage: Eukaryota; Fungi; Basidiomycota; Agaricomycetes; Polyporales; Laetiporaceae
Description: eukaryotic LSU rRNA
Rfam family: 5.8S ribosomal RNA (bases 162-315)
Source: RNAcentral